RNAcentral lists this ribosomal RNA (449 nucleotides) under uncultured bacterium. RNAcentral's name for it is "bacterial SSU rRNA". It matches the Rfam family "Bacterial small subunit ribosomal RNA", at positions 328 to 794 of the family's 1533-position model. The record is from RNAcentral.
UGUCCAGACUCCUACGGGAGGCAGCAGUGGGGAAUAUUGCACAAUGGGGAAACCCUGAUGCAGCAACGCCGCGUGAGUGAGGAAGUAUUUCGGUAUGUAAAGCUCUAUCAGCAGGGAAUAGAAAAGAAGGUACCUGAAAAAGAAGCCCCGGCUAACUACGUGCCAGCAGCCGCGGUAAUACGUAGGGGGCAAGCGUUAUCCGGAAUUACUGGGUGUAAAGGGAGCGUAGACGGUGAUGCAAGUCUGGAGUGAAAGGCGGGGGCCCAACCCCCGGACUGCUCUGGAAACUGUAUGACUUGAGUGCAGGAGAGGUAAGCGGAAUUCCUAGUGUAGCGGUGAAAUGCGUAGAUAUUAGGAGGAACACCAGUGGCGAAGGCGGCUUACUGGACUGUAACUGACGUUGAGGCUCGAAAGCGUGGGGAGCAAACAGGAUUAGAUACCCGAGUACC